This 253-nucleotide ribosomal RNA is filed under the name uncultured bacterium. RNAcentral describes it as "partial 16S ribosomal RNA". It matches the Rfam family "Bacterial small subunit ribosomal RNA", at positions 524 to 776 of the family's 1533-position model. The record is from RNAcentral.
UACGUAGGUGACCAGCGUUGUCCGGAUUUACUGGGCGUAAAGAGCGCGCAGGCGGUCGUUCAAGUCGAGUGUGAAAGCCCCCGGCUCAACUGGGGAGGGUCACUUGAUACUGAUCGACUCGAAGGCAGGAGAGGGAAGCGGAAUUCCCGGUGUAGUGGUGAAAUGCGUAGAUAUCGGGAGGAACACCAGUGGCGAAGGCGGUUCUCUGGGCAUGUCCUGACGCUGAGGAGCGAAAGUGUGGGGAGCGAACAGG